ACCACUGAAAGAAUUUCACCAUGUAAAGGUAAUGUAAAAAGUUAUAUACAUAACUUUAAAAUUGCUUACAUAAUAUAAAUAACUUACUCUAGCAAAAGAACAUAAAUCUCGCUUAUGUUUGAAGUUUGCUGCGAUUGUGAAGACAAUUAAGCCCGGUUGGUGGUCGGCUGAGUGGACACAGGUCUUGGAAUAACAGAGGGUAAUGGUUCGAUCCUUCAAACUUCCAGAACUGGUCUAGUCCAAACCUUCAGUUAUAGUGAAAUUCUCUAAAGGACUUGUGUCAAGUCUUUCAGGGAGGUGCGUUAGUAGGAGAGGAGUUUCAUAGUUUAGCCAAGGUUGCUUGACAGUGUUCUAUGGACUAUGGUUUAUCAGUUGCAGGACCUAAUUUAUUCUUCCCUUCAAUUGUAUAUGUGCAUGGUGUGAACUUUGACAGUGAGACCGGCAGAAUCGCAUGCAGAAUGCUUUAGCCGCAGUCCAAAAGGUUUAAUGUUGUUAGUUCCUAGCAGUUCUGGUGUAACCACGAAGUGAGAUGCAUUUUAAUUAUGUAGUUUUUAUAUAAAAAAUUAUCUGCUUAUAUUAUGUAGUUCAUAAGCAGACAAUCAAGAUACUUGAAAUGCAUUAGCCGUUUACUAAAUGAAUAGAGUUGGGAAGAAAUCAAAGGUAAGGAUUAGGCCAUAGAUAAUAAAAAGGAGGUGACAACCACCAAUGUUUAAGAUCAAGAAAACAGUGCUUAUUGUGUCACAAGCGAACAUUUCUUAUUUUCUCCAUGUCUGUCAUGCAGACCUUGAGCCAAAGAGGUCAAUUAUAAUUUUGAUAUUUGUUAGGUACCUCGAAAUAACUAUUCCUAUGUAGAUAAUAAAAAUUACCUGAUCUGAGCACUAAGAUUUGUUUGUGCAGGUGCAAAGGGAUUAGAAGAUGCUUAUGGGACAACUGUGAAUGUUGACGGGAAAUAGCUAUUUCAAAGUUUGAUUAAGAAAGUCACAGUAAUCAAAAUCUUAGGUGGAAAAUUCUAUUGGCUGAGAUGUCCAUGGACAGUAAUGGCCAGGAACCAAUAUUUUAUUGUCUGAUGGUUAUUCUCCUUUCAUGUACGUUGCAUGUGACAAAAGAAUCAACUUGAUGAUGCUUAUGUAUAUUUUGGCAUCAAAUAUCAAAUUCUAUGUGUGUUGUUAAUUGAUGAAUAGAACAAUUAUGGUAACAGAAAAAGAGUUGAAUAGCAAAAACAAAA
This 1225-nucleotide long non-coding RNA is filed under the name Triticum aestivum (bread wheat). RNAcentral's name for it is "long non-coding RNA (TAES_LNC005475)". Lineage: Eukaryota; Viridiplantae; Streptophyta; Magnoliopsida; Poales; Poaceae. The record is from RNAcentral.